RNAcentral lists this long non-coding RNA (461 nucleotides) under Gallus gallus (chicken). The record is from RNAcentral. Lineage: Eukaryota; Metazoa; Chordata; Aves; Galliformes; Phasianidae.
UGAACUUGUAUGCCUGGAAUGCUGUUUGUUACGGAUUGCAUGUUUUUUUUCCAGAAGGACAAUCCAGCAGGGUGAUGGAGUUGCUUUUCAGGUGAGAGAGCUGGAAAGGAUUGAGCCCUGCCUAGGGAUGAAUGAACAACUAGAGGAGUGCUUGUGAGCUGUGACUGCUGAGGAUGCUCCUUGACGAUCCUGGAUCCCAGAGGAAAGCGUCUUUGAGGAAGGAUGCCUUCCUGAUUGCAGAGGAGGCGGCAAAGAUCACGUGGACAAAAUUGGUGCCCCCCAGGUCCUAGUGGGACGUGCCUGUGUGUGGCGAAGGAGCUGGCAGAAGUGAGCGCCAGCUGGCUCUGUGUCACAUUCUUUAUGAUGUUUUCUAUAGGAAAGUUGUGUGAGGACGGGAGGAUAGCCAGCAUCACGGCAGCCUUCAAGAAGGGUAAGAAGGAGGGCCUGCAUAACCCUAGGCC